This 149-nucleotide transfer RNA is filed under the name Caudoviricetes sp. RNAcentral describes it as "tRNA-OTHER". It matches the Rfam family "tRNA". Rfam says of the family: Transfer RNA (tRNA) molecules are approximately 80 nucleotides in length. The record is from RNAcentral. Lineage: Duplodnaviria; Heunggongvirae; Uroviricota; Caudoviricetes.
GCUUCGGUAGCUCAGUGGCAGAGCACGAGGGAUAGCACAGAUACCAGAGGACGGAACAGACCGGCCAUGGCUUCCAUGAUUCUUUGAAUGCCCGUGAUAAGAGAUAGUGCAUCCCACACAAAACGCUGGUUCGACUCCAGCCCGAAGCA